UUGUCUCAAAGAUUAAGCCAUGCAUGUCUCAGUACAAGCCGAAUUAAGGUGAAACCGCGAAAGGCUCAUUAAAUCAGUUAUGGUUCCUUAGAUCGUACCCAAAUUUACUUGGAUAACUGUGGUAAUUCUAGAGCUAAUACAUGCAAACAGAGCUCCGACCGGAGACGGAAGGAGCGCUUUUAUUAGAUCAAAACCAAUCGGCGUCGGGCGCAAGCUCGUCGUCGUUCAUUCUGGCGAAUCUGAAUAACUUUCUGCUGAUCGCACGGUCUAGCACCGGCGACGCAUCUUUCAAAUGUCUGCCUUAUCAACUGUCGAUGGUAGGUUCCGUGCCUACCAUGGUCGUAACGGGUAACGGGGAAUCAGGGUUCGAUUCCGGAGAGGGAGCCUGAGAAACGGCUACCACAUCCAAGGAAGGCAGCAGGCGCGCAAAUUACCCACUCCCGGCACGGGGAGGUAGUGACGAAAAAUAACGAUACGGGACUCAUCCGAGGCCCCGUAAUCGGAAUGAGUACACUCUAAACCCUAUAACGAGGAUCAAUUGGAGGGCAAGUCUGGUGCCAGCAGCCGCGGUAAUUCCAGCUCCAAUAGCGUAUAUUAAAGUUGUUGCGGUUAAAAAGCUCGUAGUCGAAUCUGUGUCUCGCGCCGCCGGUUCAUCGCUCGCGGUGUUUAACUGGCGUGUCUCCGCGAGACGUCCUGCCGGUGGGCUUAGCCCGCGAGGGCGGCCCAACUCUUCGAAUCCCGCCGCGGUGCUCUUCAUUGAGUGUCGAGGCGGGCCGGCACGUUUACUUUGAACAAAUUAGAGUGCUUAAAGCAGGCUAAAACUUCGCCUGAAUACCGUGUGCAUGGAAUAAUGGAAUAGGACCUCGGUUCUAUUUUGUUGGUUUUCGGAACCCCGAGGUAAUGAUUAAUAGGAACGGAUGGGGGCAUUCGUAUUGCGACGUUAGAGGUGAAAUUCUUGGAUCGUCGCAAGACGGACGGAAGCGAAAGCAUUUGCCAAAAA
RNAcentral lists this ribosomal RNA (1000 nucleotides) under Coptostethus sp. UPOL RK0862. RNAcentral's name for it is "SSU rRNA". It matches the Rfam family "Eukaryotic small subunit ribosomal RNA", at positions 32 to 964 of the family's 1831-position model. The record is from RNAcentral. Lineage: Eukaryota; Metazoa; Arthropoda; Insecta; Coleoptera; Elateridae. RNAcentral also lists the same sequence under 1 other name.